UUCUAGAGAGUGCUGUUCACUCCCAUGGGAACAGGACCCUGGAGCCUGCAGUGCCUUUGAGGCUGCGUUUUUGGGGUGCAGAUGCUUUGCGGGGAGCCCAGGGCCAUGUGGGAUCUCUCUUCUCAGGCCUGCGUCCUGGGCAGCUGGAUUCCCUGGCCUUUCUCGCCGACCUCAUGGGUGAGUGUGGACUGCAGUGUCGCCUACUCCACCCUUGCUGGGGAGCAUGGAUGUUACUGGUGCCCACUUUGCCCCCGCCUUCCCCCCUGCCCCCGGUCUUGCCUGGUGCCCUCAGAGCCUGAGCCUCUCACCCACACCUGCCAUGUAAUUCCGGUCCUCCUCUGGCUGUCUCACAGGUGAGGGAAACAUUCUGCCCUCUGUCACUCCACCAAUUUAGUUUUAGCCAUUAAUUUGCUUUAGGUUUUUUUAGUCAUUCUUCAGUUUAUAUUUGCUUGAUCAACCAAAAGACCAGCCAGCAGGGCACUCUUGAGUCAGCUCUGAAGAGAUCAGCUGGCUAAGAUGAUUUUUCCAGUGCUCAACAUUAACUUGAUCAUUUCCCCCCACCCAAAAAAAAAAUGCUUAACUGCAGAGAGCACUCUACUCUGGGUGACAGAGUGACGCCCUGUAAAAAAAAAAAAAAAAAAAAAUUGCUCAGAGUAGUCCAAAGGUUGUUUAAACAGCGCUGAAUGACUGAGAGAGCUUGCUGCUUAUUUUUUUCCUUCCAGUAGAAAAACAGUUAUAGCCCAGCUGAUGAGGUAGAAAUGCACUGAGCAGGUCUCAGCCCCAGCGGAAACAGAGUAGCCCUCGUCAUCCAGGUGCUGUGUUGCUUGGUAAAAGUGUGUCUGCCUCGGGCUGCGACCUGCCACGUGAACUCUCUGACCCAGCACCAGCCAGAAUCAACAUUUGGGGAUUCAGACUGCAGCAACAAGUGAUUCCCCUCUUGGCCUGCAGUUCUGUAAUCCCAAAAUUGUUUCUAAUUGUGGAUAUGAGACAUCAAAAUGAGGGCUGAAUCAGAUGAAAUUAUGCUCAGUUCAGCCUCAGAUUUAAGUGAUUUAUUGUUUUCUAGUUCUUCAGACCUAAUAGAGCUGCUGUGGUGGCUCUGUCAGUGGUUGGCAGUGGCCAUCAGCCCUCACCCUGCCAUUGGGGGCCUUGUGCGUUGGCAUCUGGUUGUUGCUAGCAGCCCUGAGGGGGAUGGGGCAGGCCACCGCCACCUCUCACUGGCUGCUGGGCUCAGGACUGGUCUGCUGUUAGGGAAGCUGCAAGUCCAGCCAGUUGACUGCACCUAUUUAAGAAAAAGCACUACUCUGUUACCUGAGAACCUUUGAGAUUCCUGUUGUGAAGGAACAAUCAUAUGGAAAUGAAAACUUAAGCUUUUAGCUAAUAACAGAAAAGUGAACUAGCUUUUGUCAGUUGUUCAAAAGUGUAAAAUUCUACUGAAAGAAGACAGCUCAAUAUUUCAAACGCUGGAGCUGUGUUAUUUGGUAACCAAGUAGAGACGGCGCCCGGCAGUAAUCUGCGGCUGCUCAGUGUGGCCCUUUCACUGAGGCCUUGGUCCACAGCACCAGCCCCGAGAGGGGUCCCAGCUGCCGACCUUCAGGCUUUCUUUUCUGUUUAUAAAGUGAGGGUAUUCUCAGAGAGCUUUGAGGAGAAAAUAGUGAAGCUUGAAGGUUGUUGGUGAAGCUGUGAAAUAUUGAACACUUCCUAAUCUUAGAUUAGGUUUUCUGCAUCUUAGAUGAGUCUUGAAUAGCUAUAACCAAAGGCUCUUGUUUAUUUAAACACUUUAAUUAUAGAGAGCUAAAGGCAGGAGGCACAGGGUUUGGGUGGGUGAGGGGCUUUGCAGAAUACAGCUGGUGCUCAUCAGCCCCUGCUAGGAAUUUAGGACUCACUGGUGUAGUUGCUAUAAAAGCUGCCACCUCCAGGAAGACAACUAUGGGUGUUUAAAGUGGUGGUGGUGUAGACAGCGACAUUUCCAGUGAGCUUUAGGCAGGAAUGCAGGGAGGGCCUUGGGAGCGAGGCAGCAGGCGGGCAGGUGUGGAUGGGUCCAUGCUCAGAGCCAUAUCAUCACCCCCAGGCAGCAUCCUGAAGCCCACUGAGAAUUUGGGCUGAGUGAUGUGCCCCGGAGUGGGAGGCAGCUGGCACCACACGUUUCUCUGGUAGCUUCUUCGGCUGUGGAAGUCUCCAGGUUAGGGGCUGAUCACCACCACUUCGUCCAUGACCCUCUGUCUCCUGUCUUUAGAGGUCAGCGGAACGGUUCCGUGGAGCCGCCCUCCCUUAAGCCCAGAUGCUCACACCGAGCUUCCUGAUUGUCCUUCUUGUCAUGGCUGUGUUCAAGAUGUUCUUUCUGUGGGGCGUCUCUUCCUUGCUGGGCUGACAGCCCUGGGACAGCGGGGACGCCACACCCUGGGGCACACCGCCUAGGGUCCCUUGUGUGGUGGGGGGCCAAGAGAGACUGCUAUGGAAGGUGAUGUUGACUGGGAUUACCAGUACAGGUCCUGACAACUGUAAGGUCACAAUUAGUAUCCAGCAUGCCUGUCUGCCAUGCAUCCCUUUGCCCAUCCUGAGCUGGCGAUGAUGCCACAUGUGAGGCCCUGUCCUGGACUCACCAUGUGGGUGUUUGCAGCUCUGCCUGAGAGACCUUGUUCCUCAUGCACAAUAGGAAGCAGCAGGCCUGUCUGUUAGGACUGCUGUGAGUCACUGCGAUGGCCCAGGAGCCUGCCACGUUCUGAGGUCAUCAGCACAGCACCCGUUGUUGUUACUGGGAGUUAACAUGCAGGGGGGACUCCCUCUAACGGCAGCAUGCUGAGUACUGGCAGCCUCACUGAUCCGGUCAUGUGGCCUCGGGAGCCGCACAGGCUUCAUGGGGGUUUUGUGGUUUUAAGGACUGUGAGGGUUGACUGAAUUAUAUGCACUCACUUGUCAUGUUUCUGGGCUUUUUGUGCCCUUUUCCCUGGUACUGCAGGAAAGGAAAAGACAAAGUACUGUCAAGAGCAAUUGCUGAGCAGAUUUGAUGUGAUGCAGUAGGAUGAGACAUGAUACUGGGAUCACCUCUUCCAGGUCACCGCAAGGGUUUAUACUGCUCCAUGCCUGCAGUGCUUCUGGCUCUGUUGCGGGAGCACCUGACCCCAGUAGCCACAGCCAAGAAGGUUUUACUUUUAAAUGGCAUCGGCAGGUGGGUAAGAGUUGAUGAUGCUGCUGGCAGGUGAGGGACCGGCUGUGGACUUCCAUCGCCGGUUCCACCUGCCCUCCUGGGCCAGGGUCUCUGAGAUCUUGGAUGUGGAUUUCAUCUCCUUGUUGUCAAUACCUGGUGCUUUUAUCUAUCAUCAGUACACUGUACUUUUACUUCUCUGCUAUGUUGACUCCUGAGAACAUGAGAUUUAACAAUGCAUUUAUUUUAUUAAAAGCCAGUUUUUCUUGGCAAUCUGUAUUUUUUAACACAAGACAGUCUGACAUUAGCGCACUGGUGUUGGCGGCCUCUGAUAAGGCAAAGCCACCUUUUGCUGCUGUGUUGCCGCAAGAACACGGGUCAUCUGGUGAUGCGGACACGUUCCCGUUGGAGCUGGAGCGUGUCCCCCUCGCUGCUGUGAAGAAGCACAGUAAGAUAUGUGAUAAAUGAUAAAUUUUAAUAGUUAUGUUUAAAUGAAAGAAUGGGGUGAAUUUUACCUCUGUUUUUAAUGUUUCUGGAGUAUGUCAAAAAAUACUAGAAAGGAGUACUGACUAUUCACAAACACAGUGCUUGUAUACCUGUGGUGCUUCCUAGACAUGCCAUUGCUGUCUCAGCAGCUCCACCUCGGAUCGCGGGGAAGCGAGGCAGCAACUGGAAGCCUGGGGUCCUGCUGGUGCCAUCUCUGAAGCGCCUCUGCCUCUCACGCGGGUGUCCUGCUCUCUGGCUGCGUGCGUUUGUGCCCUCUCUACGCUUCUCGAG
Molecule: long non-coding RNA, 3919 nt
Filed under: Homo sapiens (human)
Lineage: Eukaryota; Metazoa; Chordata; Mammalia; Primates; Hominidae
Description: long non-coding RNA NONHSAT216683.1
Source: RNAcentral